UAGAGUUUGAUCCUGGCUCAGAAUGAACGCUGGCAGGCGUGCUUAACACAUGCAAGUCGAACGAGAAAGGCGAAUUUCGGUUUGCCGAGUAAAGUGGCGCACGGGUGAGUAACGCGUAGGCAACCUGCCCAUGUGACUGGGGAUAACAGAGCGAAAGUUCUGCUAAUACCGGGUACGAUCUUCAUGCGAGAGCGUGGAGAUGAAAGUCGGCCACUCGAAGAAGCUGACGCACAUGGAGGGGCCUGCGUCCUAUCAGCUAGUUGGUAGGGUAACGGCCUACCAAGGCGACGACGGGUAGCUGGUCUGAGAGGAUGAUCAGCCACACUGGCACUGGAACACGGGCCAGACUCCUACGGGAGGCAGCAGUGAGGAAUUUUGCGCAAUGGCCGCAAGGCUGACGCAGCAACGCCGCGUGGGUGAUGAAGGCCUUCGGGUCGUAAAGCCCUGUCAGGUGGGAAGAAAGGUACCUGGACGAAUAGGCUGGGUAUUUGACGGUACCACCAGAGGAAGCACCGGCUAACUCCGUGCCAGCAGCCGCGGUAA
This 543-nucleotide ribosomal RNA is filed under the name uncultured delta proteobacterium. RNAcentral's name for it is "bacterial SSU rRNA". It matches the Rfam family "Bacterial small subunit ribosomal RNA", at positions 1 to 523 of the family's 1533-position model. Lineage: Bacteria; Deltaproteobacteria. The record is from RNAcentral.